UACGUAGGGUGCGAGCGUUAAUCGGAUUUACUGGGCGUAAAGGGUGCGUAGGUGGCCCUGUGUGUCUGGCGUUAAAUACCACGGCUCAACCGUGGGAAUGCGCUGGAAACUACGUGGCUUGGGUGCGGCAGAGGCAGACGGAACUGCUGGUGUAGGGGUGAAAUCCGUAGAUAUCAGCAGGAACGCCGGUGGAGAAGUCGGUCUGCUGGGCCGUAACCGACGCUGAGGCACGAAAGCUAGGGGAGCGAACCGG
This 253-nucleotide ribosomal RNA is filed under the name uncultured microorganism. RNAcentral's name for it is "partial 16S ribosomal RNA". It matches the Rfam family "Bacterial small subunit ribosomal RNA", at positions 524 to 776 of the family's 1533-position model. The record is from RNAcentral.